ACUGACCCUAGCCCAAGCAAAUAUUAACCUAAUAACCACUGCCACCUAAACUAAAUCAUUCAUUUACCGAGGAGUAUAGGAGAUAGAAACUUGACCAAGGCGCUAUAGAGAUAGUACCGUAAGGGAAAGAUGAAAGACAAGACAACAGUAGAAAAAAGCAAAGAUUAAUCCUUGUACCUUUUGCAUAAUGAACUAGCCAGAACCAACCUAGCAAAGAGAACUUUAGUUAGACACCCCGAAACCAGACGAGCUACUUACGAGCAGCUAAUAGAGCUAAUUCGUCUAUGUCGCAAAAUAGUGAAGUGACUUGUAAGUAGAGGUGAAAAGCCAAUCGAGCCUGGUGAUAGCUGGUUGUCCAGAAUAGAAUCUUAGUUCAACUUUAAGUUCUACCUAAAGAAAAUUGAAUCUUAAUGUAAACUUAAAUGUUAAUCUAAGGGGGUACAGCCCCUUAGAACCAGGCAAAACCUUAAUUAGAGAGUAAAAAAUAACCCACCCAUAGUUGGCCUAAAAGCAGCCACCAAUCGAGAAAGCGUUCAAGCUCAACAGCUAAUAAUAAUAUUAAUGUCGUAAUCCGACACUAACUCCUAAACUUAAACUGGACCAAUCUACACACAUGUAGAUGAGACACUGCUAGCAUGAGUAACAAGAAGUAAUUCUCCCUGCACAAGCCUAUAUCAGAUCGGAUGCCCACUGAUAGUUAACAGACUAAUACACCUCAACCAAAUUCAAGACACUUAUUAACCAAACUGUUGACCCAACACAGGAGUGCACACAACCUUAAGGGAAAGAUUAAAAAGAGUAAAAGGAACUCGGCAAACUCUAACCCCGCCUGUUUACCAAAAACAUCACCUCUAGCAUAAAAAGUAUUAGAGGCACUGCCUGCCCAGUGACACAAGUUAAACGGCCGCGGUAUCCUGACCGUGCAAAGGUAGCAUAAUCAUUUGUUCCUUAAAUAGGGACUUGUAUGAACGGCCACACGAGGGUUUAACUGUCUCUUACUCUUGAUCAGUGAAAUUGACCUUCCCGUGAAGAGGCGGGAAUAAAAAAAUAAGACGAGAAGACCCUAUGGAGCUUUAAUUAACCAACUCACGUAUAAUAAUUGCUCAUUCGACAGAAAAUAAACAACAUACACUGAGUUGGCAAUUUCGGUUGGGGUGACCUCGGAGAAUAGCAGAUCCUCCGAAGCUAACAAGCCUAGACAUUACAAGUCAAAGCGUUCUAUCAAGCCAAUUGAUCCAAUAAGUUGAUCAAUGGAACCAGUUACCCUAGGGAUAACAGCGCAAUCCUAUUUCAGAGUCCCUAUCGACAAUAGGGUUUACGACCUCGAUGUUGGAUCAGGACAUCCCAAUGGUGCAGCCGCUAUUAAUGGUUCGUUUGUUCAACGAUUAAAGUCCUACGUGAUCUGAGUUCAGACCGGAGUAAUCCAGGUCGGUUUCUAUCUAUUAGAUGCCCUUCCCAGUACGAAAGGAUAAGAAGAGCAAGGCUAAUUCGCCAAGAACACCUUAAACUCAAUAGAUGAACCAAUCUAAAUCUAAUAAGUCAUCACAACCCAGCCCAAGAACAGGGCUU
RNAcentral lists this ribosomal RNA (1569 nucleotides) under Tupaia chrysogaster (golden-bellied treeshrew). Its description in RNAcentral is "16S ribosomal RNA". It matches the Rfam family "Bacterial large subunit ribosomal RNA", at positions 396 to 2925 of the family's 2925-position model. Lineage: Eukaryota; Metazoa; Chordata; Mammalia; Scandentia; Tupaiidae. The record is from RNAcentral.